AAAAAAAAAAAAUCGGGGCUGCUGGAAAUGGAGGAGGAAACUGAACUUUUUUUUUCUUUGUUGUGUUUUCUUUUUUGUUGUAUUUUCUAGCCGAGAGUGAUCCUCUAUUUAUACCAAUAUAGGAGGAGCUUUCUCAUAAAUACAUUGAAUAGGGAGUUACAACAUGGAUGAAUGAAUAGGGUGAAACCGACAUAUUUCAAAUGGAAAGUUACUGAUGUUUUCAUACGCAUUCAACAUGCAUUCAAAAUGAUGAAAC
This 256-nucleotide long non-coding RNA is filed under the name Olea europaea (common olive). RNAcentral describes it as "long non-coding RNA (OEUR_LNC002328)". Lineage: Eukaryota; Viridiplantae; Streptophyta; Magnoliopsida; Lamiales; Oleaceae. The record is from RNAcentral.